This 1375-nucleotide long non-coding RNA is filed under the name Gouania willdenowi (blunt-snouted clingfish). RNAcentral's name for it is "lncRNA (ENSGWIG00000009333.1)". Lineage: Eukaryota; Metazoa; Chordata; Actinopteri; Blenniiformes; Gobiesocidae. The record is from RNAcentral.
CCUGGAACCAGGAUCAUUGACACUGAAACCAUGACAUCAUUGUUGUUUGAUGGUGAGCCUGUGCAGACUGAGGGGCGUUCAGGCUCAGACUGAGACUGCUGUAGAGGGCGUGUAGUCUCACUUAUUAUCAUCUCCCAUGCUUUGAGCGGUACGUGAAUCCUCCAUGGAGGGGAGACAGAUGAGCUCACCCAGAGAGGGAGUGACAACGGACUGGGGAUGAAGAAGCCUUUUGUCGGAUUUAAGAUGCAAACCUCGAACGCAGCACUGCGUUAGUCUCUUCACGCUAAAUGCAAUGAAUUGCGCUUCCAUCCAUUGUGUGUGGCGUGUACAUUCAUGUGCACCGGAUGGAUUCGAUCACUGGGCUUGAUUUAUUUGGAUAAAGUGUGAUCAUUCAGACCGAUAAAUAACAUAUGGCAGUGCGCGUUUCUGAGCCGCUGUGUCAGCCCAGCGCUUAUCAUGAGGCUUUCAAAGUGGAGCUACAGGUGAAGAGACCACUGAUGCCUGUCCAGCUGAGCCCAGAACAAGUGGGCCUGGAGAUGCUGUGUCUCUGUGGACACCUGGACCUUCUAAUCAGAGCACAGAUGCAGCAGUUUCAGGAGCAGUUGGAACAAGGCUGUAGCCCAGAGGAGUCGGACACUUUCCAGGUUCAAGGAUCAGAGAUUCUCGACCAGAUGCUGCAGUGCCUUGAACAUCUACCAAAGCCUAUGCCACAGCUGGAGGACUACCUGGACAUGGUGGGCUUAUCAGCAAUGUUUCCACGUGUUGAGGUUUUCCUCAUUCAGGGCAGUCCGGUCGACAUGUUGGAGAGGCCACUGAUGGAUGAUUACUACAUCCAUAUUGCCAGACUGAACCAGCUCUUGGUGCUGAGUCAGCAGCUCGAAGAGGACAUCAUGCACCUUGGAAGUCACAAGUACAUCCCCCACCAACUCUCAGUUAUAUAUCAAGUCCUCAACUCAUUCAGGGGAAUUCAGGUAUUUUCUGAAAUAAAGAAGGAUAUAGAGGCUAACUUCAAACACAUGAAGGAAACUCUGGUGACAGACGACGACGACGACGACUCCAGGCAUGAACCACGGCUGGCUGCUCAUUAUAUUAACUGGAUCUUAGAAAUAACUCGCAGCUUGGCGUCGAUGGUGCUGUCCCUGCCCGACGGGCUGACGGACGACCUUCACCAGGCCGUGACCUUCAUGUCCCAUUUCCUGUCCUGACAAAUCUAACCUCAGGAGUCAUACAAUCAACUGCUGAUUUCAGACUUUAAAUGGUGCUGCAGCGUUUGAUUCCACAGAGAAGUCAACUUAUCGUCCCCCUCAAUAGCCUUGGUAUUAUGUCAGUGAUUUGUAAAAAAAAAAAAAAAAAAAAAGGUGUCAGUGAACGAAAG